AACGAACGCUGGCGGCAGGCCUAACACAUGCAAGUCGAGCGCGCCCUUCGGGGUGAGCGGCGGACGGGUGAGUAACGCGUGGGAACGUGCCCUUCUCUGCGGAAUAGCCUCGGGAAACUGAGAGUAAUACCGCAUACGCCCUUUGGGGGAAAGAUUUAUCGGUGAAGGAUCGGCCCCCGUUGGAUUAGGUAGUUGGUGGGGUACUGGCCCACCAAGCCUUUGAUCGGUAGCUGGUUUGUGAGGAUGGCCGGCCACAGUGGGAGUGAGAUACGGUACAGACUCCUACGGGCGGUAGCAGUGGGGAAUGUUGUAAAAGGGGCGGAAGCCUGAUUCAGCAACGCCUCGUGCGGGAUGACGGACUGAGGGUUGUAACCCGCUUUCGCCUGUGACGAAGCGUGAGUGCCGGUAAUGGGUAAAGAAGCACCGGCUAACUACGUG
This 438-nucleotide ribosomal RNA is filed under the name uncultured bacterium. Its description in RNAcentral is "partial 16S ribosomal RNA". It matches the Rfam family "Bacterial small subunit ribosomal RNA", at positions 28 to 507 of the family's 1533-position model. The record is from RNAcentral.